ACAAAAACACAUAUAAAUUUAUGAAUUGUAUUGUAAAACAACAGUGCUGUCCGAGUUACCUUCUCUAUACCACCUCUGUUACUUUUAUCACGUCACACAAUACCACUUUUUGUUACGCAAAAUGCCGUGAUUCACAAAUUUAAAACGUCUACACACAGUUGCUGAAAAUUCGCCAAAAUUUAAAUGUUUUGUGAAAACUUCAGAUUUUUACGAUUACUUUUAACCAAAUUGCGAUAAAACUAGAAAACCAAAAUUAUUAAAAUCGUUCAUUUUUCCGGUUUUAAAAACUAUAAACGAAAUGCUACGAAAAAUCUCU
Non-coding RNA from Cinara cedri, 316 nucleotides. NCBI's taxonomy places the organism in Eukaryota, Metazoa, Arthropoda, Insecta, Hemiptera, Aphididae. The record is from the annotation of a GenBank genome assembly.